GAUGAACGCUGGCGGCGUGCCUAAUACAUGCAAGUCGAGCGAACAGACGAGGAGCUUGCUCCUCUGACGUUAGCGGCGGACGGGUGAGUAACACGUGGAUAACCUACCUAUAAGACUGGGAUAACUUCGGGAAACCGGAGCUAAUACCGGAUAAUAUAUUGAACCGCAUGGUUCAAUAGUGAAAGACGGUUUUGCUGUCACUUAUAGAUGGAUCCGCGCCGCAUUAGCUAGUUGGUAAGGUAACGGCUUACCAAGGCAACGAUGCGUAGCCGACCUGAGAGGGUGAUCGGCCACACUGGAACUGAGACACGGUCCAGACUCCGACGGGAGGCAGCAGUAGAGAAUCUUCCGCGAUGGGCGAAAGCCUGACAGAGCAACGCCGCGUGAGUGAUGAAGGUCUUCGGAUCGUAAAACUCUGUUAUUAGGGAAGAACAAAUGUGUAAGUAACUAUGCACGUCUUGACGGUACCUAAUCAGAAAGCCACGGCUAACUACGUG
This 497-nucleotide ribosomal RNA is filed under the name uncultured bacterium. RNAcentral's name for it is "partial 16S ribosomal RNA". It matches the Rfam family "Bacterial small subunit ribosomal RNA", at positions 28 to 507 of the family's 1533-position model. The record is from RNAcentral.